GAUGAACGCUGGCGGCGCGCCUAAUACAUGCAAGUCGAGCGAACGGACGAGAAGCUUGCUUUUCUGAUGUUAGCGGCGGACGGGUGAGUAACACGUGGAUAACCUACCUAUAAGACUGGGAUAACUUCGGGAAACCGGAGCUAAUACCGGAUAAUAUUUUGAACCGCAUGGUUCAAAAGUGAAAGACGGUCUUGCUGUCACUUAUAGAUGGAUCCGCGCUGCAUUGGCUAGUUGGUAAGGUAACGGCUUACCAAGGCAACGAUGCAUAGCCGACCUGAGAGGGUGAUCGGCCACACUGGAACUGAGACACGGUCCAGACUCCUACGGGAGGCAGCAGUAGGGAAUCUUCCGCAAUGGGCGAAAGCCUGACGGAGCAACGCCGCGUGAGUGAUGAAGGUCUUCGGAUCGUAAAACUCUGUUAUUAGGGAAGAACAUAUGUGUAAGUAACUGUGCACAUCUUGACGGUACCUAAUCAGAAAGCCACGGCUAACUACGUG
RNAcentral lists this ribosomal RNA (497 nucleotides) under uncultured bacterium. RNAcentral's name for it is "partial 16S ribosomal RNA". It matches the Rfam family "Bacterial small subunit ribosomal RNA", at positions 28 to 507 of the family's 1533-position model. The record is from RNAcentral.